GAGCGGCGUACGGGUGCGGAACACGUGUGCAACCUACCUUUAUCAGGGGGAUAGCCUUUCGAAAGGAAGAUUAAUACCCCAUAAUAUAUUGACUGGCAUCAGUCGAUAUUGAAAACUCCGGUGGAUAGAGAUGGGCACGCGCAAGAUUAGAUAGUUGGUAGGGUAACGGCCUACCAAGUCAGUGAUCUUUAGGGGGCCUGAGAGGGUGAUCCCCCACACUGGUACUGAGACACGGACCAGACUCCUACGGGAGGCAGCAGUGAGGAAUAUUGGACAAUGGGUGAGAGCCUGAUCCAGCCAUCCCGCGUGAAGGACGACGGCCCUAUGGGUUGUAAACUUCUUUUGUAUAGGGAUAAACCUACUCUCGUGAGAGUAGCUGAAGGUACUAUACGAAUAAGCACCGGCUAACUCCGUGCCAGCAGCCGCGGUAAUACGGAGGGUGCAAGCGUUAUCCGGAUUUAUUGGGUUUAAAGGGUCCGUAGGCGGAUCUGUAAGUCAGUGGUGAAAUCUCAUAGCUUAACUAUGAAACUGCCAUUGAUACUGCAGGUCUUGAGUAAAGUAGAAGUGGCUGGAAUAAGUAGUGUAGCGGUGAAAUGCAUAGAUAUUACUUAGAACACCAAUUGCGAAGGCAGGUCACUAUGUUUUAACUGACGCUGAUGGACGAAAGCGUGGGGAGCGAACAGGAUUAGAUACCCUGGUAGUCCACGCCGUAAACGAUGCUAACUCGUUUUUGGGCUUUAGGGUUCAGAGACUAAGCGAAAGUGAUAAGUUAGCCACCUGGGGAGUACGUUCGCAAGAAUGAAACUCAAAGGAAUUGACGGGGGCCCGCACAAGCGGUGGAUUAUGUGGUUUAAUUCGAUGAUACGCGAGGAACCUUACCAAGGCUUAAAUGGGAAUUGACAGGUUUAGAAAUAGACUUUUCUUCGGACAAUUUUCAAGGUGCUGCAUGGUUGUCGUCAGCUCGUGCCGUGAGGUGUUAGGUUAAGUCCUGCAACGAGCGCAACCCCUGUCACUAGUUGCCAUCAUUCAGUUGGGGACUCUAGUGAGACUGCCUACGCAAGUAGAGAGGAAGGUGGGGAUGACGUCAAAUCAUCACGGCCCUUACGCCUUGGGCCACACACGUAAUACAAUGGCCAGUACAGAGGGCAGCUACCAGGCGACUGGAUGCGAAUCUCGAAAGCUGGUCUCAGUUCGGAUUGGAGUCUGCAACUCGACUCUAUGAAGCUGGAAUCGCUAGUAAUCGCAUAUCAGCCAUGAUGCGGUGAAUACGUUCCCGGGCCUUGUACACACCGCCCGUCAAGCCAUGGAAGUUUGGGGUACCUGAAGUCGGUGACC
RNAcentral lists this ribosomal RNA (1335 nucleotides) under Chryseobacterium balustinum. RNAcentral's name for it is "16S ribosomal RNA". It matches the Rfam family "Bacterial small subunit ribosomal RNA", at positions 93 to 1435 of the family's 1533-position model. The record is from RNAcentral. Lineage: Bacteria; Pseudomonadati; Bacteroidota; Flavobacteriia; Flavobacteriales; Weeksellaceae.